CAGUCGCCGCGGUAAAACGGAGGGGGCUAGCGUUGUUCGGAAUUACUGGGCGUAAAGCGCACGUAGGCGGCUUUUUAAGUUAGAGGUGAAAGCCUGGAGCUCAACUCCAGAAUUGCCUUUAAGACUGGAUCGCUUGAACGUCGGAGAGGUGAGUGGAAUUCCGAGUGUAGAGGUGAAAUUCGUAGAUAUUCGGAAGAACACCAGUGGCGAAGGCGGCUCACUGGACGACUGUUGACGCUGAGGUGCGAAAGCGUGGGGAGCAAACAGGAUUAGAUACCCCCGUAGUCCCUGUCUCUUAUAC
This 301-nucleotide ribosomal RNA is filed under the name uncultured bacterium. RNAcentral describes it as "partial 16S ribosomal RNA". It matches the Rfam family "Bacterial small subunit ribosomal RNA", at positions 509 to 807 of the family's 1533-position model. The record is from RNAcentral.